This 190-nucleotide ribosomal RNA is filed under the name uncultured Helicobacter sp. RNAcentral describes it as "partial 23S ribosomal RNA". It matches the Rfam family "Bacterial large subunit ribosomal RNA", at positions 1949 to 2138 of the family's 2925-position model. Lineage: Bacteria; Pseudomonadati; Campylobacterota; Epsilonproteobacteria; Campylobacterales; Helicobacteraceae. The record is from RNAcentral.
UCCUAAGGUAGCGAAAUUCCUUGUCGGUUAAAUACCGACCUGCAUGAAUGGCGUAACGAGAUGGGAGCUGUCUCAACCAGAGAUUCAGUGAAAUUGUAGUGGAGGUGAAAAUUCCUCCUACCCGCGGCAAGACGGAAAGACCCCGUGGACCUUUACUACAACUUAGCACUGCUAAUGGGAAUAUCAUGCG